GACGGCAUAUGAAAGUUAAAUUACAUUGCCUUCUAAGCAGGCGGUCGAAGGUUCGAAUCCUUCUGCCAUCA
Molecule: transfer RNA, 71 nt
Filed under: Cellulophaga baltica NN016038
Lineage: Bacteria; Pseudomonadati; Bacteroidota; Flavobacteriia; Flavobacteriales; Flavobacteriaceae
Description: tRNA-Arg (TCT) (tRNA-Arg-TCT-2-1)
Rfam family: tRNA
About the family: Transfer RNA (tRNA) molecules are approximately 80 nucleotides in length.
Source: RNAcentral